AGAGUUUGAUCAUGGCUCAGGAUGAACGCUAGCUACAGGCUUAACACAUGCAAGUCGAGGGGAAACGACAUCGAAAGCUUGCUUUUGAUGGGCGUCGACCGGCGCACGGGUGAGUAACGCGUAUCCAACCUGCCCAUCACUUGGGGAUAACCUUGCGAAAGUAAGACUAAUACCCAAUGAUAUCUCUAGAAGGCAUCUGAAAGAGAUUAAAGAUUUAUCGGUGAUGGAUGGGGAUGCGUCUGAUUAGCUUGUUGGCGGGGUAACGGCCACCAAAGCAACGAUCAGUAGGGGUUCUGAGAGGAAGGUCCCCCANAUUGGAACUGAGACACGGUCAAACUCCGACGGAGGCA
RNAcentral lists this ribosomal RNA (350 nucleotides) under uncultured bacterium. RNAcentral's name for it is "bacterial SSU rRNA". It matches the Rfam family "Bacterial small subunit ribosomal RNA", at positions 8 to 350 of the family's 1533-position model. The record is from RNAcentral.